Small nuclear RNA from Echinops telfairi (small Madagascar hedgehog), 161 nucleotides. Its record names the gene U1. It matches the Rfam family "U1 spliceosomal RNA". From Rfam's summary of the family: U1 is a small nuclear RNA (snRNA) component of the spliceosome (involved in pre-mRNA splicing). Its 5' end forms complementary base pairs with the 5' splice junction, thus defining the 5' donor site of an intron. The record is from Ensembl. NCBI's taxonomy places the organism in Eukaryota, Metazoa, Chordata, Mammalia, Afrosoricida, Tenrecidae.
ACACUUCACUGGCAGGGAUAUAACAUAAUCACAGAGGUGGUUUUUCUUGAGUAGACUGACCCGUGCACUCCAGAUGUGGCGACCUCUGUGAUUUCCCCAAAUGUGGGAAACUUGCUUACAUAGUGUGUGGUCAUGGGGAAUUGCAUUUGAGCUCUUGCCUA